ACAGAGUGUGCACCUUCUUCUCCUGUCUGGAUUUCAACCCAUCAUUGCAGUGUUGUACAGGGCUUUAUACUGGGGACAUGCCUACGCUGCAGUUUUGGAUGGCUGGAGCCUGCACAUGUCCAUCAAACCACACACAUGCCAAUUUGGAUCUCAGCACUAAGUGACAAGAAGGCUGAGACAUCAUCUGGAAGCUCAUGCUUGUUUGUAUGUGCUGGUAAUUUGCCUUCCACUAGUGAUUUACUGAAUCAUUACAUUGCACUACAUUUCAUUAUAAUGAAGUUGUUCAGGCUACACUGUCACUCUAUAUCUCCAUCUAUCUGUAACAUCCAAAAUCGAUAACAAGAUUAGAUCCAGUGUCAGGGAGACAUGAGACGUGAGGCACCAACACCUCUCUGACUCACUGAAAUUCAUGUCUCAUAAUUACAAAGACGGAGAGAAUGCUAAUAUUAACUGAUCCAAGCUUGAAUACAAGAAGCCAAUACUAAUCCUAGAUUUAAGCGAUAGGCGUAAAUUGAUAUAGUACUUUUAACUCCAUUAAGACAACUGUAUUUGUCGCGUACGUACAUUUUUUAUUUUUUUUGUUAAACAUCCGAAUCCACUCUACUGAUGAUGGGCUCCAAGAACCUGC
Molecule: long non-coding RNA, 628 nt
Organism: Ictalurus punctatus (channel catfish)
Lineage: Eukaryota; Metazoa; Chordata; Actinopteri; Siluriformes; Ictaluridae
Source: Ensembl